UCAGUUCGGAUCGGAGUCUGCAACCCGACUCCGUGAAGCUGGAUUCGCUAGUAAUCGCGCAUCAGCCAUGGCGCGGUGAAUACGUUCCCGGGCCUUGUACACACCGCCCGUCAAGCCAUGGGAGCCGGGGGUGCUUGAAGUGCGUCGCCGCAAGGCGCGCCCUAGAGCAAAACCGGUGACUAGGGGCUAAGUCGUAACAAGGUACC
RNAcentral lists this ribosomal RNA (206 nucleotides) under uncultured bacterium. RNAcentral describes it as "partial 16S ribosomal RNA". It matches the Rfam family "Bacterial small subunit ribosomal RNA", at positions 1288 to 1500 of the family's 1533-position model. The record is from RNAcentral.